This 920-nucleotide ribosomal RNA is filed under the name uncultured bacterium. Its description in RNAcentral is "bacterial SSU rRNA". It matches the Rfam family "Bacterial small subunit ribosomal RNA", at positions 33 to 944 of the family's 1533-position model. The record is from RNAcentral.
ACGCUGGCGGCAGGCUUAACACAUGCAAGUCGAACGGUAACAGGAGAAAGCUUGCUUUCUUGCUGACGAGUGGCGGACGGGUGAGUAAUGCUUGGGAAUCUGGCUUAUGGAGGGGGAUAACGACGGGAAACUGUCGCUAAUACCGCGUAUAGUCGAGAGACGAAAGUGCGGGACCGCAAGGCCGCAUGCCAUAGGAUGAGCCCAAGUGGGAUUAGGUAGUUGGUGGGGUAAUAGCCUACCAAGCCGACGAUCUCUAGCUGGUCUGAGAGGAUGACCAGCCACACCGGGACUGAGACACGGCCCGGACUCCUACGGGAGGCAGCAGUGGGGAAUAUUGCGCAAUGGGGGCAACCCUGACGCAACCAUGCCGCGUGAAUGAAGAAGGCCUUCGGGUUGUAAAGUUCUUUCGGUAUUGAGGAAGGUUGUUGUGUUAAUAGCACGACAAAUUGACGUUAAAUACAGAAGAAGCACCGGCUAACUCCGUGCCAGCAGCCGCGGUAAUACGGAGGGUGCGAGCGUUAAUCGGAAUAACUGGGCGUAAAGGGCACGCAGGCGGACUUUUAAGUGAGGUGUGAAAUCCCCGGGCUUAACCUGGGAAUUGCAUUUCAGACUGGGAGUCUAGAGUACUAUAGGGAGGGGUAGAAUUCCACGUGUAGCGGUGAAAUGCGUAGAGAUGUGGAGGAAUACCGAAGGCGAAGGCAGCCCCUUGGGAAUGUACUGACGCUCAUGUGCGAAAGCGUGGGGAGCAAACAGGAUUAGAUACCCUGGUAGUCCACGCUGUAAACGCUGUCGAUUUGGGGAUUGGGCUUUAAGCUUGCUGCCCGAAGCUAACGUGAUAAAUCGACCGCCUGGGGAGUACGGCCGCAAGGUUAAAACUCAAAUGAAUUGACGGGGGCCCGCACAAGCGGUGGAGCAUGUGG